AAAGGGAUCAAGAGUAGAGGGGCGAUGACAUUAGAGAAGCUGGUCCAAGAGUUUGUGUGUUCUGUUGGUUUCAGUAAGAAGCUAUUGAAUUUUAAACAGAGUAGCAGCAUGACCUCAUAUAUACUUACAAAAAAUAAUGAAUAAGUUGAGAGACAGAAGGACUAACUUUAUAAAAGCUGACUCUUCAACUGAGUUUUGAAAACAUUUCUGCUGCUUCAUCAUCAUUUAUUACAUUGCUCUUUUCCACAAUAUGAGGGAAGGAAGUUCUGCCUUGUAGUCUUUAGUCAUAACUAUUUUUUCCAGGCCACUUGGUGGACUUUGUUUGGGCAGGGAUCUUGGUGUCUGGAGAGGAUAGACUGGGGGACUGGGAUGGUGAAUUAAGAGUGGAUGAGUAGGUUGCACUUAAUAGGGAAUAAGUUAGGCAUGCCAAUUUAGCUAAAGUGAAAAAGAAAAGAAAAAUUAUCACGUGUAAAAUUUCCUUCAAUAAAUGAAAUGUGCUCAACUGAUUUCUCAUCCCAUCUCACUAAUAUUAUCAAAACUAAAGGUUGAUAUCUUCUUUUAAGGACAUUGAUUAGCUACCUGCCUAUGACUUUUUUGAAGCGCCAUCAAUGCAAAUCUAGUGGGGCAGAAAGAUACAAGUUCAAAGCACCAGAGGAUAAUAUUUUCAACUGUGUCUGCAUUGUUUAAUGAGACAAUGAAUUCAGUGGACUUCAAAUGUGUCAUGUCUUGUAAAUCACUGGGUUAUUAACUUUAACAGGGUGAGUGGAUGUACUGUUCCCAUCUCCAUUUCACAGCAUUAGUACUCUAGAUAAUAGGGAACGUGGGGUAAUAAUCCUUACAUUAUUGGCUUAUACUUGUAGAGUGACCCUUUUAAAUAUGAGGGAUUUGGAAGUAAAGUGCAUUUCUUUGCAUGAGAAAAAGAGGAAAAAUAUGAAAAUUUAGAUUUAAAAAACCUAAAUUUUAAUUUUCUCUUUAUUUUUAGACAUGAUGUGAAUUGGAUGGCAAAUUAAAAUUUGCGUUUAUGGGCACAAGUUCUUAUUCAAUUUUGCUUAUUUUGCUAAUCUUUGGUAGUUUUAUGGGUUUUAAUUUCAGUGUAAUAGCAAGAAAAACAGUGCAAUUGCUGUGCUCUAUGAUUUACAAUGUGCAUUUAAGCUAUUUCUUGGUGGAAUUGCCACGAAGUUAUAUGUUCUCUAAUAUUGCUCUAGUGGUCGCAAAGAGUUAAUGUAUCCUAAUGCCUUAGUGAUUAGUGUCCAUUUGCUUGGGUAAUUUGUUUCUACACAGGUCAGUAUAUUUCAAAAUUAUUUCACAUUGAUAAUAGCUUGGCUGGUUUGGGGUAUGACCAGAUUUUGCAUUUCAGGGACUCAUUGAUGUAUCAAGAGGCUGCAACUGUCAUAAUUAAGAAGAAAAGACAUUUAAGCCACCAUAGGCACAAGAUACUGCUGUGAUAAAUUGAACCUACAAAAUGAAGUGAAUGGCCAUUAUGCAUAUGCAAUCUUGUUUUACUUAGUUUCUCUUCAUUGGUUGGGCAUGAAUCUAGCCUUAGGCACCAGGCUGAGGAAGCAUUAGUACUCAAUUGCCAAAUGGCCUAGGUUUAAGAUUCCCAUCCACUCAUAGAUUGGUUUGUGAGCUUUAUCAAGCAGGACGGUAUGAAUAGGUAAGGAAACACUUUUGCCUUUUCUCUUGACUAAAUUAAUUACAUCUUAAUGACAAAGUUUCUGCUUAUGAGUCACAGUUGUCAUUGAGCUGUUCUGCUAGUUAAAAUCAUGUGAAUUUUCUGCCUAUCAUCUUAAAAAACGGUAAUUUCUAUACCAUUAUUGGAAUCAGAAAGAAAAGGAAUGUAAAAUAAAACAGAUGAAGAUUAAUAUGAUAGUUUCUCAAUUUUUGUGGAAUGAACCAAUCUUGGUAACUUUGUGCUAUGAGUUCUUACUUGUCUAUGCUAAUUGGAAUGAGAAGGGAAAGAAAAGCUCCCUGCCCUUUUGUUCCUCCUGGAUUUAAAAUCACCGAACAGAUGCCGUGAUAUAAACCUGCAUUUAAGUCCCUUAUAUUUUUCUUUAUAGACACAAUUGUGAAUUGUGUUCUUCCUGCAUUUGUAAUUAGAAGGUGAAACAGAUGGCAAAGGAUCAGUGUAAAGAGAUGUCCAUUAAAAUAACUUAUGUUGCCAAGUGAUUGUUCACUUUAAGUGGGGAACUCAAUUUCCACCAUGCAAAAGAAAAAAGUGGCACAUGCACAUCUUGAAGGAACUCCGUUAUGUGGGGCAAAUAACACAGGAGCUGGACUAUACUUUGAAAAUACUAAAAAUAUAGACAUAUAAACAACUACCUUUUUAAAAAAACAAAUAAGCAUUGUUGGAGAUGAGAAUUGAGGUCAGUUGGAAGCCCUUCAAGGUACAAUUUAAUGUACUAAUCUUAUCUUCUCCUAAGCCUGCUGUAGAUAUACAGGAAAUGUGUGGUAUAUUUUUUUCUCUCCGAAAUUUUAGCCAUUAAUAUAGAAGCAAAUGUAGCAUUACUAGGAGUGAUUUGAGAUACAUCCCUCUGUGUAUUAAAUAUAUAUUUAGGAAGGAACCAUAGUUAAGACGUUUUCAGCUCUCACAUGAAGUAGCACAACAUAGUGGUUAAGAAUGAGGAUUCUGGAGUUAGCUCCUCAGGGUUUGAAUUGUAUCUGCCAUUUACCCUUUCAGUGAUGUUGGGGAAAUUCUCUAACAAUUUCGUGCUUCAAUUCCUUAGUGUGUCAAGUUGGAAUAACUAAAAAUGCUAAUCUCAAUGGUUUGUUGUGCCCAACAAAUGUAUUGAAAUUUUAUUAUUAAAUAAAUAACACCUUCAUGACCAGAAUUUAAUGUAACAUCAUCUAAAUAUUUUAUUUUUAAUCUUUUCUUUUUUACAAAAAACCUUUAAUAAACCAUUUGUUUCCAAAAAGAAGGAAACUACAGUUUUUCUGCCCAAAAAAGUGGACUUUUUAAAAUUUUAAAAUUUAAUUUAUUUGCCUACAAUUUAAGACAGAUCUGUACAUAACUGUAAGUCUCGAGUUCUAAGCUUGGAAAAAUUCCUUGUCUGGUGCUUGUGUUUUUGACAGCUUUUCCUGUCCACUCAGAGCUGAAGAAUUUAAUAUAUAAAACUGUUAUCAACAUGAAACGUACACAGUGAUGUACUCGCAUGAAGGAAACUAUGCAGCUAUUAGCUCAGUAUGUGAGAAUUUUCAAUUUGAGUGACAUAAAUCUGUAUGUUUCCCUAUCUACCAAUAUAAACGUAUUUUUUAUGCCUUUAUGUUGGCAUGGUUCUGGGCACUGCAUUUUUAAGAUUGACUCAGAUUCUGCUCACAGGGAGCUUGUUUUUACAGGAUGGACACCUUUGUCUUUUCAGCCCUGUUCUUUCUGCACAGGAAAGGAGAAAAAAAUAGCUAAAGACCUCUUGGGCCAUCUGUGAGAUUAGUAGAACCUGUAAAUCCUAGGUUUACUCAAUCUCUAGAACUGCAACCAAAAUUUGAAUAUUGUGUCAGCUUCAUGUGUAACCUUGGUUGCCUUCACUUUGAAAGUAAGAUUGCAGCUCUUUAUCAUAGAGUUGUUAGGAAGAGUACUUGCAUUGGUCUAGUGUAGUUUCUAGAAAAUAUUUGAUAGUCAAUAAACAAAUUGAAUUACUCCCCCCCUCUUUUUUAAGAUCCCACCUCAAAUAACUUCAGUGCACUCUAUUCAAGAUACUAUUUGAAGUCUAAUGCCAAAGCUGUGUACUUCUUUAUGUUAAUAUUUGGUAAUAGAUGUUCCAAAUCCCAAAGAUUUAUAUCUAGACAUAAGGGCAUAAACUGAUAUAUUAAACAUCAAUAGCAAAAUAGGAAUAAUAAUAGCUACCAUUUACAUAGCACUUCUGGUGUGCCAGGCAAUGCUGUCCUAAGCACUGUCCAUAUGUUCACUCACUUAAUCCUCACAACAGUCCUAUGAAGUUGUUGUUAUUAUUUUUCCUCAGGCUCAGGGAGAUUAAAACCUUCCCAAGGUCACACAGUUAGUAUUGAUGAAGUUGGAAUUUAAACUUAGCAGUUAGCAUUUGCAUUGAUGCACUCAAGCACUACAUCUUGAAACUAGAAGGAUUUCAUAAAGUCGGAAACAGGGAAAACACUGUACCAUAUAAUUUUUUUAUUGUUAUUUCCCUAACACAUUUUUUUUCCCACUGUACAGCAUGGGGACCCAGUUACACAUACAUGAAUACAUUCUUUUUUCUCCCAUUAUCAUGUUCCAUCAUAAGUGACUAGACAUAGUUCCCAGUGCUAUACAGCAGGAUCUCAUUGCUUAUCCAUUCCAAGAGCAAUAGUUUUCAUCCGUUAACACCAAGAUCUCAAUCCAUCCCACUCCCUUGCCCUCCCCCUGGGAAACCACAAGUCUAAUCUCCAAGUCCAUGAUUUUCUUUUCUGCAGAAAGUUCAUUUGUGCUGUAUAUUAGAUAUCCGAUAUAAGUGAUAUCAUAUGGUAUUUGUCUUUCUCUUUCUGACUUAAACUUCACUCAGUAUGAGAGUCUCUAGUUCCAUCCAUGUUGCUGCAAAUGGCAUUAUUUUGUUCUUUUUAUGGCUUAGUAGUAUUCCAUUAUGCACCUAUACCACAUCUUCCUAAUCCAUUUAUCUGUUGAUGGACAUUUGAGUUCUUUCCAUGGCUUGGCCAUUGUGAAUAGUGCUGCAAUGAAUAUGCAGGUGCAUGUGUCUUUUUAAGGAAAGUUUUGUCCAGAUAUAUUCGCAAGAAUGGGAUUGCUGGGUCAUAUGGUAGUUCUAUGUAAAGAUUUCUAAGGUAUCUCCAUACUGUUCUCCACAGUGGUUGUACCAGCUUACAUUCCCACCAACAGUGCAGGAAGGUUCCUUUUCUCCUCACCCCCUCCAGCAUAUUUGACUCAAGGCCUUAGACUGUACAAUACGAACAACAAAAAAUGAAAAAUAUAAAGCAUCUUUCUAUGUGGACGAUAUUGUUCUCUACAUAGAAAAAUGCAAUGUUACUGACAAAUUAUAAGAAGUACUAAAAUAGAGUAAUAAAACAAUCUUACAAAAAUCACAAGUACAAAAAUCAUUUUUACAAAUAGCAAUUGAUUAAAACAUGAAAGAAAAUAUUUCCAUUCAAAAGUAGAAUAUAAAUUUUAAAGUCAUAAGCAUUAACCUAGUAUAAUGUUUGCACAGGCUGUAUGCUGAAAUAUAAAACUUUAAAGCUAGACCUAAAAGAACAUCUGAAUGAAUAAAUACAUCAUGUUUAUGGAUGUAAAAUCUCAAUCUUGUAAAAUUUUAAUUUCAAAAUAAUCCUUAAAGUCUGAAUAUAAUAGUAAUGAAAUUUCUAACAGGAUUUUUAAUGAACAUGAAGGCCAAUUCUAAAAUUCAUGGGAAAAGAAAAUAGAGAAUAGUGAAAACAGUCUUGAAGAACGAUAACAGAUGUCCUAUCAGAUAAUCAAGAUGUAAUUGAAAAACGUAGUAAAUAAUAAGUUGAAAUAUAUAAUAGGACCAAAAGCGGUAUCUAGAAAUGGACAUAUAGAAUUUUAUUCUGGCUGCAGUAUGCAGUGGCUUGCUGUGGGAUCUCAUUUCCCAAACCAGAGAAUGAACCUGGGGCCACAGCAAAGAAAAUGCCAAAUCCUAAUCACUACACCACCAGGAAACUCCCUGGAUGUAUAGAAAUUUAAUAUACCAAAAAUAUCUUUUCAGAUCAGUUAAUAAAAUAUAAACUAUUUAAUAAAAUGGAGUUAGUAUAAUUUUCUAUCACCAAAAAAUAAUUCUUUGAUUUCUGUCUCUAAAGAUUCACAAAAAUGUGUCCCAGACAGACCAAAGGCCAACCUAUAAAAGCAAAAACAACAAAAAUGAAAAGCAUGUGAAUAUAAGAAAAUGUCUCUGUGAACUUAGAGCAAGAUAAUUUUUUUUAAAAAUUACAAGAAAACACAAAAAUUUGAUAAAUUUGGUCAUAGCAAAACAACAUUUCUAAAGAAAAAAGACACUGUAAAGUCAGAAUAAGAGGCAAGCUGGUAGAAAACAUUACAGCAUGCAACAUAUAAGUUUAGCAAGUAUUUAACAUAAAAAAUAAAGCAUAUAAACAAUCAAAAACCAGAUGAGAAGAAUAAGAUGAUAGCCAGAUGAAAAUAUCAAUUCUACUUACUUGCAAUU
This 6107-nucleotide long non-coding RNA is filed under the name Sus scrofa (pig). Its description in RNAcentral is "lncRNA (ENSSSCG00000059905.1)". The record is from RNAcentral. Lineage: Eukaryota; Metazoa; Chordata; Mammalia; Artiodactyla; Suidae.